CCGCGGGCUCCUUCCCAUCGCUUCUCCCAGCGGCGCCUGCUCCCGCCCCGCGCUCCGGCGGCGCCCGGCUUCCUCCCCGCACGGGGAGAGGCAGGUGGAUGUCGGGAGGACGGGAAGGAAGGGACGCGAGGCAGGAGCCGCCGCGGGCAGCGGGGUGCCGGCAGCAGCAUCAGAUUCCCAGAAUGACCGAAACGACGACAAACACACGGGAAGAGCAGGCACAAGGAGAGAAACGAGCGAGAGAAAAGAGUUUUGCUGGCAUCAGUACUAUGGUGAACCUGCCAGCACCGCUGUGUACGCGGGACAACUUGCACACCAAAAUUCAAACUCCAGUCCAUCACCUCUGAUGGCUUUUGAAUCCCUGUGCCAGAAGCCCUUGGAAGACAGCAUGAGGAAGAGGAUUAACUGCAUGGGUCCUUACGUUCUUGGUGGCUGUCUCUUCAAACGAAGUGCCUUCGGAAAAGCACAUGGCUAUCACUCACAGUAAAAUGGUUUGGGUGGUUGGUGCUUCAGGAAGCAGGUAACUCAGAAUAAAUUGUAUGGUGGUGGGCUCUGUCCUGGCAAUAUUGACCAGGAGCCACCUUGAUGAAGGGCCUUGUGUUAAGGAGUUGUGAGCUGUCUCAUGAGAAAGCCUUGUUGGCACUCAUACUGAACAGUCUCGUCCUGUGUGAGGGAAUGCAGAGCAUGCAGGAGAGAGAGAAGCCCAAGCUCCAUCAGAGAGACAGAAGAUCAAAAGCAGUGAAGAAAUUAUGGUAAAGCAAUUAACAUUGGGAUGUCCACUAUUUUGCAUGUGUCCGUUUUCCAGUAGCUGAAAAGCAGUUUUGCCUUGUGUCUCAAUAAAGCAGUGGCCCCAAAGAUGCCUUUCCCAAACCCCCAAAGUGCCCACAGCAUUAAAAAUCUGCACAAUUAACUGCUGGUUAAUGGAGCUAGAACUGACCCAUUUUGACGAAGGGGAUCAGAGAGCGUGCCAGAGAAACUGGAGGUGACAGCCAGUGCCCCAGCUCUUUCAUUCCAGAAAAUUGCAGGAACAAAUAGUUCCAGCAUGGUUAUCCUCACAAAGAGAAGUAAGGAGCAGCGGAGAGAGGUGCGUGGUGAGGAGGAAGGACAUUUCAAUUCUCUCUUCCCUUUUGUCAUCUCAACUCAAUAACACCUUAUGUAACACGUUUGGGUUUUGUUUAAGUUGUGAGACUGUAAAAGUUUCCUGGCUGUAAAACUGUAAGAAUAGGAAGUACUUGUGAUCUUUUGAAAAGAUUUUUCUUUCUAGCUGAAAAAAAGGAUAUAUGCAGAGAAGCCUGUACUAGAACAGCAAGUUAAAGCUUUUUCAAUAUAAAGUCAGGAUAUUUCUUUUUCCUAAUGUAAUAAAAGGUGUGACAAAACCAGUGGUAUCACUAUUAA
Molecule: long non-coding RNA, 1395 nt
Organism: Corvus hawaiiensis (hawaiian crow)
Lineage: Eukaryota; Metazoa; Chordata; Aves; Passeriformes; Corvidae
Exons: 3
Source: RefSeq, a predicted model, not a curated record